AGAGUUUGAUCCUGGCUCAGGACGAACGCUGGCGGCGUGCUUAACACAUGCAAGUCGAACGGUAAGGCCCUUCGGGGUACACGAGUGGCGAACGGGUGAGUAACACGUGGGUGAUCUGCCCUGCACUUUGGGAUAAGCCUGGGAAACUGGGUCUAAUACCGAAUAUGAUCAUGGCCUUCAUGGGUUGUGGUGGAAAGCUUUUGCGGUGUGGGAUGGGCCCGCGGCCUAUCAGCUUGUUGGUGGGGUAAUGGCCUACCAAGGCGACGACGGGUAGCCGGCCUGAGAGGGUGUCCGGCCACACUGGGACUGAGAUACGGCCCAGACUCCUACGGGAGGCAGCAGUGGGGAAUAUUGCACAAUGGGCGCAAGCCUGAUGCAGCGACGCCGCGUGAGGGAUGACGGCCUUCGGGUUGUAAACCUCUUUCAGCAGGGACGAAGCGCAAGUGACGGUACCUGUAGAAGAAGGACCGGCCAACUACGUGCCAGCAGCCGCGGUAAUACGUAGGGUCCGAGCGUUGUCCGGAAUUACUGGGCGUAAAGAGCUCGUAGGUGGUUUGUCGCGUUGUUCGUGAAAACUCACAGCUUAACUGUGGGCGUGCGGGCGAUACGGGCAGACUGGAGUACUGCAGGGGAGACUGGAAUUCCUGGUGUAGCGGUGGAAUGCGCAGAUAUCAGGAGGAACACCGGUGGCGAAGGCGGGUCUCUGGGCAGUAACUGACGCUGAGGAGCGAAAGCGUGGGGAGCGAACAGGAUUAGAUACCCUGGUAGUCCAA
This 773-nucleotide ribosomal RNA is filed under the name uncultured bacterium. RNAcentral describes it as "bacterial SSU rRNA". It matches the Rfam family "Bacterial small subunit ribosomal RNA", at positions 8 to 798 of the family's 1533-position model. The record is from RNAcentral.